AACAGACUGGAGCCCCGUCCUGCGCCCCAGUGACCCUGAAUUGGAUAAGUGGAAGAGGAUGGAUGGGACAUGAACUGCAGCCCCUGGUCUUGAAGUCAUGCUCUGUGGUAGCCAACUCCAAGUUACUUCUUUAAAGCCUUUGCAAGAAUGACGUCAGGGUUGGAAGCAGAACUCCUGCUGCAAUGACAUCAAGACAAAUUACCGUACAUUGUGAACAUUAAGUUGAUUCUGACUAAUGAGAACCUCUCGAGCUCCAUCAGGUUGGGUCAGGAGCACAGGUGACCAGCUCUGCCUGGGCCACUCAAGGACAUUCACAGUGUGCUCAGGGAGCCAUUCCUUUAUUAUGAUGGUUGCGCGCUUAGGCUUGUCCUAUCAGAAGAUGAACCUUCGCCCCAGUCCAAAGAGCAGGGUGCUCUGGAGUAGGUUAUCAGGAUGUCUCUGUAGGAUAUCUCUGUACACUGCUGCAUUGAUCUUUCCCUCCACCCGGACUGAUCUGUGCCUUGAUACAACCCCCGUCUCAGUCUUCAGAAAAUUCCUUGGAUUUCACAGCUUCCUUUGUGCUCUAACAUACACUGUCGACUAUGAGGCCUUAUGUUGACAGCUGUGUGCUUUUCCAAAUCAUGUCCAAUCAGCUGAAUUUACCACAGGUGGACAUGAUUCAAGUUGUAGAAACAUCUGACAGAUGAUCAAUGAAAACAAGAUGCACCUGACCUCAAUUUUGAGCAAUAUACUCGCAUGAAUUUCAAGCAAACCAUUUUCAGUCUGUCUUUAUGGCACAUUGUAGAAUUUUGUGAUGAAAAGUCUGUUUAAUCCAUUUUGGAAUAAGGCUUUACUAUUACAAAAUGUGGAACAAAUAAGGCGCUGUGAAUACUUUCUGGA
Maylandia zebra (zebra mbuna) is the source of this 879-nucleotide non-coding RNA. The record is from RefSeq and is a predicted model, not a curated record. NCBI's taxonomy places the organism in Eukaryota, Metazoa, Chordata, Actinopteri, Cichliformes, Cichlidae.